Magnolia sinica is the source of this 176-nucleotide long non-coding RNA. RefSeq lists it as uncharacterized. Lineage: Eukaryota; Viridiplantae; Streptophyta; Magnoliopsida; Magnoliales; Magnoliaceae. The record is from RefSeq and is a predicted model, not a curated record. The transcript has 3 exons.
GUUCAAGAAAGCUAAAGAUGAAUAUAAUGACUUAUUAUCCAAGAAAAACAUCAUUGAGAAUGAUAAGUCAAAAAUCAAGAAGGUGAUUGAAGAGCUUGAUGAAAAGAAGAAGGAAACACUAAAAGUUACUUGGGUUAAAGUGAACAAGCUGACAAACUAAAGAAGUCAAUGGAGGA